UCCCUGGUGGUCCAGUGGCCAAGACUCUGCACUCCCGGUGCAGGGGAGCCAGGUUCGAUUCCUGGUCAGGGAA
RNAcentral lists this transfer RNA (73 nucleotides) under Bos taurus (domestic cattle). It matches the Rfam family "tRNA". From Rfam's summary of the family: Transfer RNA (tRNA) molecules are approximately 80 nucleotides in length. Their secondary structure includes four short double-helical elements and three loops (D, anti-codon, and T loops). RNAcentral also lists the same sequence under 5 other names. The record is from Rfam by way of RNAcentral. Lineage: Eukaryota; Metazoa; Chordata; Mammalia; Artiodactyla; Bovidae.